Molecule: non-coding RNA, 142 nt
Filed under: Ditylum brightwellii
Lineage: Eukaryota; Bacillariophyta; Thalassiosirophyceae; Lithodesmiales; Lithodesmiaceae
Source: RNAcentral
GACAGAUCUGUCUUCUGGUCUGUCACAUUCUCAAUCACUGGGGCCAUAGUCCGUCCGCUUGUCUACGAUAAGCCAUGGCUGAGAGCCGCAGGAGAGCGCGAGUAUGAACACGGCGCAAAGCAGGGAAUGGAAGAAGCUGGCA